This is an RNA transcript of Neomonachus schauinslandi (Hawaiian monk seal), 6859 nucleotides long. It is a transcript of the gene named centrosomal protein 170B, with no coding region annotated. The record is from RefSeq and is a predicted model, not a curated record. The transcript has 17 exons. NCBI's taxonomy places the organism in Eukaryota, Metazoa, Chordata, Mammalia, Carnivora, Phocidae.
CCCGCCUCCUUUUGUGAUGGUCACACCCCUCUUCAUGACACCCCGCCCCCCAUAGUAGCCCCACCUGUCUUCCCCACCCCGGCUCCUUCUGCACCCUGCCCCUUAUCAUGGCUUAUUCCUCCGCCUUGACCCCACUCCUCUUCGUGAUCUACCCUCCAUGUUGGCCCCGCCCCCUUCCCGGGCCCCACUCCAGCUCUGCCCACCUGCUGUGGUCCCCUUCCCCUCCGUGACCACAUCCCUCUGCUCCGUCCCCGCCUGAGCUCCUCCAGGAUCUGCUGCUCAGGUGGGGAGGAAGCCACCUUCAGGUGCAGUGGCCCCAUGGCCUCCUUGGGAGGCUCCCUUUGGGGCAGGGCUGUUCUGGGGGAGAGGGCCCUAGGGAGGGUGGGAGACAUUGGACCUCCUGCAGGCUGAGAAAUGAGGCUGUCUGCUGGGAUACCAUGUCCUGGGGGAUGUGUGACCUCCUUUGUGAGCAGGGAGGGGGUCAGGUGAGGGGUCCCUCCGGGGUCCGGUGUCUGGCUGUGUGGGUGUGUGGUUUCCUUCUGCCCGAGGAGGGCCUUCCGCCCUGUCCCCCCCAGCUCGUGAGGUCUGCCCUCUCCAUCCUGAGCUGGGGGGUCCCACAGCAGCCUCAGGCUGCCGAGUGCUGGGCACUCAUCACCACUUCCCAUGAGGGGCUCCCGGGUGGGGGGGGGUCUCAGGCUCUGCUGGGGUCUGCCCCUGAACCCCUCUUCUGUCGGCCCUCCUGUCAGACAGAGUCGCCCUACCUGAAUGGGGCUGCAAGGAGAGUGAGCAUCCCCUCCGCCAACCUGGGCUGCACGGGGCACUGGCCCCCCAGACCGCCUGGGCUCUGAGAGGGUCCCCGGGGCUGCGGGCCUGGUGUGUGCUUCUCAGAGGCCUGAGUGACGUCCGCAGAGUUGGGGCCAAGUCUUGCCUGCCUGUGCAGCACCGAGCCACGGGCACGGGAUGACAGGCUGCCCCCACGCCGGGCCUGCUGCCCUCCACUGCUUGCAGGAGCUCACGGACUCCCGCAUCGCCGGCAGCGUGUGCAGACUGCGCUUGCCGGGGUUACAGCCCUCUCAGGCCUGCUCUGCUGCCCCUUCUCUGCACCACCCAGCCCUGGCCUGGGACCCCUCCCUGUGGACCCACCCUCCUGCUCCGCCCCCGAGACGCCCCUCUGUCCUGAAACCAGUCCUCCCUGGUUCUCGUGCCUUCCACCAGACUCUGGCACAUUUGCAGCGCCUGAGCCCCUCUGUCUUUCCUCUGUUGCCUGGCCUGCCCCAAGGCCCUCAGAGUGCGUGGGGCUCUCUCCCCAAUCUGGCCAGAGUGCAGUGUCCAGUAGCCAGCCAGUGAGAGCCCCUGGGGGAGGGAGGAGGUUUCCGGGGAGCAGGCAGCCUCGCACAGCCCGGCCAGCCUUGCCAUGGGGCCACCCCGCGGGUUUGCCUUGGCCGCUGCCCCUUCAGGGUCCCGGGUGCUGGACGGGGCCAGGCCUUCGGCAGUCACCUGUCCCGUGGUCCCUGCAGGGGUGAGGCUGGGUGCAUGUGUGUCCGAGGGACAGUGGCUGGCCCAGAGCAGCAUGAAGGAGGGCACUGCAGAGUCGCUGCCCCACCUGCUGCUGGCCGGGCCCCGCCACCUGUUUCCUCCGCAGACCUUCGUGAAUGACGUGCGCAUCCCGGACCAGAAGUACGUCACGCUGAAGCUCCAUGACGUCAUCCGAUUCGGCUACGAUUCCAACAUGUACGUGCUGGAGCGCGUGCAGCACCGGGUCCCCGAGGAGGCGCUCAGGCACGAGAAGUAUACCAGCCAGCUGCAGGUGAGCGUCAAGGGCCCGGCCCCCAGGAAGGGUGAAGCGCUGCCCCAGCACACCCCUUACUGCGAGUCCUUGGGUCCCAGGCCGGAGAGGGGGGACCGGAGGCCAGGGGCAGAGACGGCGGCCUACCGCACACCCCUGUAUGGGCAGCCCUCCUGGUGGGGGGAGGACGACAGCGGCAGCUCCCCCGAGGACCGGCGCCAGGAGGAGCCCUACGCAGAGCGGCCCAAGGAGCCGGCCCAGCCGGACGGGGAGCUCCCAGGGACGAUUGGCUUCCGGGCGGCGGCGGAGCCUCAGGGCUGCUCGUUCAGGCGGGAGCCCAGUUACUUUGAGAUCCCCACAAAGGAGGCCCCGCCGCCGCCGCCCCCGCCGCGGCCCCCUGCGGCGCCGGCCCACGAGGCACCCGCCACGGCCCCCAUGGUGCAGAGCCACGCCUCCUUCACCAUCGAGUUCGACAACUGCAGCCCCGGCAAGGUGAAGAUCAAGGACCACGUCACCAAGUUCUCGCUGCGCCAGAGACGGCCCCCAGACAAGGAGGCCACACCUGUGGAGGCCGUGUCUGCUGAGACCAAGGUGGCCGACUGGCUGGUGCAGAGCGACCCGAGCCUGCUGUGCCGGGCGGGCCCUGGGGAUGACCGCCACAGCACCAAGAGCGACCUGCCCAUCCACACCCGCACCCUGAAGGGCCACAAGCAUGAGGACGGCACGCAGAGCGACUCGGAGGACCCCGCGGCCAAGGCAGCGGUGGCGACGGCCGGGGUCCCUGCGGAGGGCAGCGGGACGCAGGCGCGGCUGCACAGACAGAUGAAGCGGGACCCCCAGGAGCUGCUGCAUAGCCAGCAGGCCUUUGUCAUCGAGUUCUUCGACCAGGACACGCCCCGCAAGAAGCGCUCCCAGUCCUUCACGCACGCCCCUCCCGGGGACCCCAAGGCCGACAAGCGCCGAGGCCCCGGGCCGGCGGACAGAGACCGCUCAGGCGUCCCUGCUUCGGCGCGGGGGGCAGGCGGCAGCUCGGGGCCGCAGCGGGCCAGCUCGCUCAAGCGGGAGAGGACAGAGGAGCGCCUGGGGGGCCCCUCGCCCACCUCCCGGGGCUCUGUGCGACCCUUUGGCAGCGUGGGGCGCCGCUCCCGUCUGGCCCAGGACUUCAUGGCCCAGUGCCCGCGGGAGGGCUCCCCGGCCACCCGGCCCGGCCCUGACAAGGCAUCCCCAGCGUCACCGGCCCCCGAGACACCCCGUGGGGCCAGCCCCGUGGCCCCUGCAACCCCACCACCGCCCCCUGCCGACCCCCAGCUGAGCAAGGCUCGCAAACAGGAUGAGGACGACAGCCUGAGCGAUGCGGGGACCUACACCAUCGAGACAGAGGGGCAGGACCCGGAGGUGGAGGAGGCCCGCCAGAUGAUCGACCAGGUCUUUGGGGUACUUGAGUCUCCUGAGCUUUCCAGGGUAUCCUCGGCCACCUUCCGUCCGGUCAUCAGAGGGGACAGAGACGAGGCCAGUGACGGGGUUGCCCAGCGAAUGGCGCUCCUGCAGGAGUUUGCCUCCCGGUCGGUGGGCAUAGCCCCCCAAGGGGAGCUCCAGGGCCUCCCGGUGCCGGGCUCCCCUGGGGGUCAGAAAUGGGUGUCCCGCUGGGCCAGCCUGGCCGACAGCUACUCAGACCCAGGCCUGGCAGGGGAGAGCCCUGGGCACAGAGCGGGGGAGCUGGAGGGGACCCUGCCUGUGCGCCAGCGACGGCGACUCCCACAGCUGCCCAGUGACCGCGCAGACAGCCCUGGGGGCCUCGAGGCCACCAAGAGGAGCGGCCCUGGGCCUCCGGAGCCGGGCAGUGAGCAGGCCGGCUGCCUCUUGGGCCAGGAGGACUUGGAGCCUGACAGUCUCAGUGACGCCAGUGGGUCGGACGGUGGGCGGGGCUCCGAGCUGGGUGGGGGCCCGCAGGAGGAGAGGCGCAGGAGCCCCCAGGAGGGACCAGCAUGGACGAAGGGCCGGCGCUCGCCUAGGGCCCCUGGAGAGCCAGCCCCCGCCUCUUUCUUCAUUGGGGACCAGAACGUGGAGACAGCCUUCCCCAGGAAGCCAUCAGUGGCUGCAGGGGAGGUGGACGGCCCAGGGCGGGUGGCGAGGGACGGCGUCUCCGUCAGCUCCAGCGGGAGGAUGGUUAUCCAGCUGCGGACAGAACGGUCCCCAGAGCCCGAGAGCCCUGCCCCGGCCUUGGUGCGACAGGAUAGCUUCAGCAAGGAGCCGGCUGGUGGCCCCCCGGCGCCCGGCCAGCUUCCACGCAUCUCCAGCCACCCCCUCCUGCAGGACCUGGCUGCCGCCCGGGCCUCACGCAUGGACCUGCACCCCCAGGACACCCACCUGAUCCUGAAGGAGACAGAGACAGCCCUGGCAGCCCUGGAGGCCCGGCUGCUCUCCAAGUCCACGGAGGAGGCAGAGGGCCCGAUGGGCAGCACCCCCGGGCCGCCAGACGACUCCCUGUCCGGGGACUCUGACGUGGACACAGGGAGCACAGUGAGCCUGCUCAGUGGUAAGAACGGGCCCAGCCCAACCAGUCCCCAGCCCGCGGGGCCACAGAAGGAGAAGCCACUGUGCCCACCAGCAGCACAGGACCCGGGGAGCGUCUCCUCGAACAGCGCCCGCGAGCGGCUCUCGGACAAGCAUCGUCGCACUCCGGGCCCCACGGACGUGGGCCGUGCAGAGCUGGGGAGGCGCCUGGCUGCACGGCAUGGCACCGGGGCCCGGGCAUCCGCGGACUGGCCUGACGAAGAGCGAGGCUCCGGCCUGGCCCACCCGCCUGGCGCAGACACGGUCACCUCUGACCGCGAGACCCCCGUGGCCCCUGGGGCGGGGCGGCCAGGGCCUCGCCGGACACCGGCACCUGCAGCGCCAUCCCCGGCUCCACGGGAAGAGCAGGGCCGUGGCUCCGCCCAGAAGGUGCAGCAGGUGCUGACCCGCUCCAACAGCCUGUCCACCCCUCGGCCCACACGGGCCUCCCGGCUGAGGCGGGCCCGGCUGGGGGAUGCCUCGGACACGGAGGCUGCCGAUGGCGAACGGGGGCCCCCGGCCAACCCUGAGCCGGCGGGGCGGCCAGCCCCCGAGCAGGCCAAGAAGCUGUCGCGCCUGGACAUCCUGGCCAUGCCCCGGAAGCGGGCGGGCUCCUUCACCGGGCCCAGCGACUCCGAGGCGGCCCCCGCCCGCGCCGGCUUCUCUGGCCGCAGCGUCGAUUUGUACUGCACUGGCCGUAAACCCGUCGUGGCCGAGGCUCGGGCCGCCGCCGCCAGGAAGGCUGCCAAUACCACCACGGCCCCCCGCCAGCCCUUUAGCAGGGCCCGCCCGGGCAGUGCCCGAUACUCCUCACCCAGCACGCGUCGCCGGCAGCAGGGCUCGGAUUGCACGUCCACAUCCGAGGAGGAGUACGGCUCCCACCACGGCUCCCCCACACACACACAGUCCCAUGCCUCAACAGCCACGCAGACCCCGCGGUCUGGCAGCUCCAACCGGACUCGCUCCCGGGCCCCCAUCCCCCGGGACACAGAUGACGAGGAAGAAGAUCCUGAUCCCUACGGCUUUAUUGUGCAGACGGCAGAGAUCGCUGAGAUUGCCAGGCUGAGCCAGACACUAGUGAAGGAUGUGGCCAUCCUGGCCCGGGAGAUCCACGACGUGGCUGGGGACGGCGACUCGCUGGGCUCGCCGGGACCCGCCCGCAGCCCCUCCCUCAGCAACGUGCCCAGCACCCCUGCUUCAACCAUCUCCGCCCGUGAGGAGCUGGUGCAGCGCAUCCCCGAGGCCAGCCUCAACUUCCAGAAGGUGCCCCCUGGCUCCCUGAGCUCUCGAGACUUGGACCAGAACAUGAACGACCGCUGUGAGGACCCCCUCGCCAGCAAGAUGCGGCCUCGGAGCCGCGAGGAGGUGAUCUUUGACAACCUGAUGCUGAACCCCGUGUCCCAGCUGUCCCACGCCAUCCGGGAGAACACGGAGCACCUCGCCGAGAAGAUGAAGAUCCUCUUUCAGAACACAGGGCGUGCCUGGGAGGAGGUGGAAGCCAGAAUCAACUCGGAGAACGAGGUGCCCAUCCUGAAGACAUCCAACAAGGAGAUCAGCUCCAUCCUGAAAGAACUGAGGCGCGUGCAGAAGCAACUGGAAGUCAUCAACGCCAUCGUGGACCCCAGCGGGAACCUGGACCUGCUGACCGGGAACCGGGGCUCCACGGGCUCGGCCCAGCUGGGGAAAGGCCGGCCGGCUGCCCAGAGCCCAUCCUCGCCCCCCUCGGCCCUGCCUCUGAGGAGCUUCCCACAGCGGGUGAACUGCGGGUCCCCGGGCCUCCCGGACCCUGCCUUCCUGCCCGACUUCCUCCCCGAUGCCGAGAGGUUCCUGAUCUAGGCGGCCGGGGCCGGGGCGGCCUCCGCGUGCCCUGGGUCCAGCACCUCCGGCACCCCUUGUCUGCCGCCACGGCCCUUCCCGGCUGCGGACCGUUCGCCACAGACCCCCAUGUGCCAUAACCCUGUGGGCAGGUGCCUCUGUGCCCACACCCCUCCCUAGCUCCCAGCCGGCGCCCCAGCUGGACGGUCCAGCCCCUGUGGCCAACCCCGCUGGCCUCCUGGCCCAGCUCCUGCUGUGGCCUCCGCCAAGGGCUGGCGUCACAGCUGACGUGGAGUCGCGUGCGUGGGUCCUGUGCCCCCCCCGUGAUGUUUACGUAUGUGUGUGAGUGGUGGGGGGCUCCCUGCCGGGACCCCGCCCCUCGAGCCUGCUGUGUCCACACGGAGGCGGCGCUGGGCCCCUCCGGCCUCCUGCAUGCCCCACACAGUUGCCCACAGCCUGUCCCCUGGAAACGAACAGUGGCCAUUCUCAUGCACCCACCCUCAGUGAUUGCCGUACACGUUUUUUUAUUCACAAAUUCCUGUUCCUCCCCCUUCCAGCCUUCGACUUGGGACCGGUAACUUAUUUGUCUGGCUUCUUGGAGGUACUUCUGUAUGUGUGUCCUCAGGUGGUCUCAUGGAUGUCUUUCAGAAAACGGUUAUUUUAUAUGAGUUGUCAUGGAAUUUGUUCUAAUAAAUCAUUCUACCA